GCCAAGCAAGGAAGAGAGAGAAAGAGAGGAAGAACAAAGGGAAAAACUAGAAAACCUAGGUGAAAAUUCAAAGAAAAAGUGAAGAAAUCAAGGAAACAAGCUAGGUAAGUUAGAAUUUCUCUAGUUCUCCUUGAUACCUAGCUUACCCAUGCUUUUGUUCUUGAUUUCCAUGGUUCAAUAUUGAGUUAUUAUGAUGAAUUCAAUUCUGAAAAAAUGGGUUAGGAGAGAGAAAAUUGUUAGAUUAAUUUGAUUUUAAGUUAGGUUAGUGUUUUAAGUUAGUUUAGCAUAUUUAGAAACAAAACAACAAGAAAAGAAUUUAUUUUCUCCCACAACCCUUAAUGGUCGAAUUUACCAUGUGUUGAUUGAGGAUGAAUUUGAUUUUCAUUCUAGGAGAAUUGGUUAAGAAGUGAUGAAUUAUGAGCCUAGAAAAAUAAUGGAAAUUUUCAGAGCAAAAAUACGAAUUUUUACCCACUAGGGGUAUUUUCGUAGUUUGCUACCAAGACUGAUGAAUUGAAUUUCAUUCACAGUCAUUAGGGUAAUUUAGGUAUAAUUGGAGUGUAGAAAGUGAGAAGAAUUGAUUUGGAGUUAAAUUGGAGAUAAUAGGCUGAAUUAGGUCAGCACCACAUUUAAACGGUAGUCUGAUAAGUUGUAUAUCAUAUCAUGAAUAUAUACCGAGCUUGAAUUGAUUUUAUAAUGGUCAAGCAUUGAUGUGAUGAAUUAUGUAUUGUACAUUGUGGAUAGGUGGUGAGCAAAGUACACUGGUAAAAGUACAGAAAUUGUGCUUGGAGAUUGGGAUUAGGAGUACAUCGACUCCUAGAACAGUGAGUGAACUUAUUAUCAUCUUAAUUAUCUAGAGUAGUUUUAUACAAUUGUGUGAUUUUAUGAAAAAUGGGUUUAAAUGGUAAAUUUCUAUGUUUUAAGAGAAAUUGUGAUUUUAUAAAUUUUCUGAAAAAUUGAAUACUGGUUUUGAAAUAGAGUAAUUGGAGACUGCUUGCUUGUGUUGCAAAUUUAUGGUUUUGAAUUGAAUGGCUUAUGACAAUAAAUGAGCAUGAAUGGCUAAACUAAUUUUGGUGUUAGAAUUAUUUAUACUGUGUAUUUAGCCUUGAGAGGCUAGGUUACGAUAAAUUGCCAUGUCAUGCUAGAAUGAAUUUUAUUGAUUGGUGGAUUAUAUAUUAAUUAUUCAAUGCAGAGAGGGUUCCAUGGACCAGCCUAUUAGAGGGGCAUGGUAAACUCCAUUAUAUUCUUACCUCGAAUGGAGAGGCGCGUAAGGUAUCUCCUGGGAUAAAGCUUAGGGUUCACUUCACGCCAAACCACCACGUGAAGGGGAACUCAGCCAACGCCAAGGAACAGCUGUAUUUUUCUCAAACUAAAAAUAUAUUUUAAGUGUAUACAAAAAUUUUAACAGCCUUGGCGGACUUGGUUGGAUGCCCUGCGCAAGGUAUCACCAAGCAUGAGUUUUGGCACGAGCCAAAGUUUUAAGAAAUUCAUAAGCCAAGUUGAUUACUCGAUUUUUAUGGAUUGAUUUUAUUUGGUUGAAAUGAGUUGAAAGGUAAUGAAAUUACAGUAUGAUGAUUUAUUUUAAUUGUCUCCAUUUACUCGACUUUAAAUAGUUUAGAUGAUAUCUGUUUACUCACUGGGAUUUUAUAAUCUCACCACCCUCAUUUCCUCACAUUUCAGGCUCGGGGAAUUCCAUAGUUAGCUGACUUUGACAAGGACUUUAAUUUGGACUUGAAUCGGU
Molecule: long non-coding RNA, 1738 nt
Filed under: Theobroma cacao (cacao)
Lineage: Eukaryota; Viridiplantae; Streptophyta; Magnoliopsida; Malvales; Malvaceae
Description: long non-coding RNA (TCAC_LNC001300)
Source: RNAcentral